AUGUCGCCGCCCUCCACCGCCCCGCCGCCGCCCUCCGCCCCGGCGGCCACCAAGCCGCGCCCGCGCCACCCCCUGGGGCUGGACUCCCUCGCCUCCACCAGCCGGCCCCUCUUCGCCGCGGCCCGCCGGUCCCCGGUCGCCACGCUCGCCUGCGCCAUCGCCCUCCUCGCGCUCAUCAUGUACGGCGAGGACGCGCGCACCAUCGCCGAGCUCUCCAUCGACGACUACCUCUACCCGGACGCCGACAUCUACAACGUCUCCGGCCUUCCCCCCAUCGAGCUGCCCCCGCCCACCUGCGACCUCGCCCACGGCCGCUGGGUCUUCGACAACGAGUCCCUCCCCCUCUACCGGGAGAAAGAGUGCAACUUCCUCACCAAGCAGCUCACCUGCCUCGCCAACGGCCGCAACGACGAUUUGUGGCAGUACUGGCAAUGGCAGCCCAACAACUGCUCCCUCCCCACGUUCGACGCCAGGAGGUUCAUGGAGAGGAUGAGGGGGAAGCGGCUCAUGUUCGUGGGGGACUCGCUCAACAGGAACCAGUUUUACUCGCUGGUGUGCAUGGUGCAGUCCAUCUUGAGCAAGGGGAGGAAGAAGGUGGUCAAACGGGGAUCAAACACCAUCUUCCACGCCAAGGAGUACCGCGCCACGCUCGAGUUCUACUGGGCGCCAUUCCUUGUCGAGUCCAACUCUGACGACCCCAAUAUCCACAGCAUCGAGCACCGGAUCAUACGGCCCGAGAGGAUCGAGGGACACGCCCAGUAUUGGAGGGGUGUGGACUACCUCAUCUUCGACACCUACAUCUGGUGGAUGAACACCGCCGACAUCAAAGUUCGGAGGCCAGAUUCAAGGUCUUGGUCGGAGCACGACGAGGUGCCGAGGAUCGAGGCAUAUGGCCGGGUGCUCAAAACGUGGUCGGACUGGCUGAAUGAGAAUGUCGAUCCGGCGCGGACAUCCGUCUUCUUCAUGACAAUUUCUCCUAUUCACAUCAGCCCAGAUAAAUGGGGAAACCCCCACGGGAUCAAAUGCGCCAAGGAGACGCUCCCGGUGCUCAACUACACGGAGCCCCUGGACCUGAACCACGACAUGCGGUUGUACGACAUGGUGGCGAGCACGGCCAGGUCCAUGAAGAAAGUGCCGGUCACGCUCAUCGACAUCACCAGGAUGUCGGACUACCGGAAGGACGCCCACACGUCCGUCUACUCCGUCCGGCGGGGCUACCUGCUCACCCCGAAGCAGAAGAACGACCCUCAGAACUUUGCCGACUGCAUCCACUGGUGCCUUCCCGGCGUGCCCGACGUCUGGAACACGGUGCUCUACACGAGGAUCUUCUCCAAAUCGCCCCCUUCUUUGCCGCCGGCUCUCACCCUCCCGCCUCCCCAGUGA
Molecule: ribosomal RNA, 1383 nt
Filed under: Triticum aestivum (bread wheat)
Lineage: Eukaryota; Viridiplantae; Streptophyta; Magnoliopsida; Poales; Poaceae
Description: partial small subunit ribosomal RNA
Source: RNAcentral